This 3735-nucleotide long non-coding RNA is filed under the name Sus scrofa (pig). RNAcentral describes it as "lncRNA (ENSSSCG00005010875.1)". The record is from RNAcentral. Lineage: Eukaryota; Metazoa; Chordata; Mammalia; Artiodactyla; Suidae.
AACCUGUGGUUGUGUCUGUUUUCCACCACUGAGUUUGGGAACGGUUUGUUAUGCAGCGUCAGAUGACAGAGACAUAAGGCACAGCCUUUGCCCUGUGAGAGCUUACAAACUUCCGAUGAUUUCAUGUGUUGUUCUAUACCCUUUUUACAAAUUUAUCUUCUAUAUAUAAAUAUGCUGGAAUUCGGAUUGCAGUAGGUACCCUAACUGAUGCAGCCACUGAAGACAAUUUUGCUAAGAAGUGUCUGGAUAAGUCCUCAUUUUACCAAGACUCCUUUGGCUGUGAUUCGGAGAAUGCUUGGGAGAGAGGGAACACCAGGAGGCAGGGAGACCAGUUAGGAGGCCACUGAGAGGAGGAUUAUGUCAACCUGGCAGUGGGAGAGGGAAAAUAAGUACUUUGGGAAAAUACUGACGAUAGGUAUUGAUGAUAGACUUUAUAGGUCUUGGUGACAGAGAGAGUAAGAGAGAGGUAGGGAAUAGCGAGGAUCUCCAGGUUUCGGACUCGAUCAGUUGGAUGGAUGGAAGUUCCAGUUAUAGAGAUCGAGAACCCUGGAGACAGAAGGGGGAAUAUUAUCUUCCUUCUCUCUUUCAUGGGUGACAGUACUGAGCAGUUGCUGGCUUCGAAUCUACCUCCAAUCUGUCCUUCGACCUUGGGAGAUCCGAAGCAUGUCUGAUCAGAUCACAUGGCUACUUAAGACCCUUCAAGGCAUUUCCAUUCUUUUAAGAUGAAUCUAUGAUCCUCAGUGACUUGCUCCUUAGUCCUCCAGCCUCCCUCCGAAACCUUGCAAUUUCCAGGAACGGGCAGGUUCCACUGUGCCCCGGGCUUUUGCCUAUUUCCAGACCUCUGCUCCCACAAUUCAUUUUGUCUGCAUCAUCCUUCUCCUCUUCUUCACUUGGCUGAUUCUGUGGUCAAAAUUCAGUCAUCACCUCCUCCAGCAACUUUCUCAUCUCAGAGUAGGUGUCAAUCCCUCCAGAUCCGAGAAUACCCUCUAUUUACUUCUGGAGCCGCCCCACUCAGAUUCCAUUGUAAUGGCCUGUUUAUGUGUCUGGCUCUCCCUCUGGACUGAGAAUUCCCAGAGUAUUCGUGUCCUCAGAGCUGGCUCAGAGCUGGGCUAGGGCUUUUCCCUUGCAUGACCUCAUUUCUUAGCUGUACUCUUAUUGUCAGCAUUUUUACUAUUGUUGUUGCUUCUCCUUUUGAAACUGGGUGCUGCUGGGGUAACACUGUCCAAAUGAAUUUGUAAACAUACUUAAGAAAAAACAGACAACAAACAACAUUUCAGAAUCGAAAAGCAAAAUCAAAAAAGAGGCCCCAAGUUUAUACACAACUUCCUGUGGUAAUGAUUUAAGCGAGAGAACAAUUAGUCCCCGGGUAGUUUAACAACCCAAACAAGUCCCAGGGGACAUAUGGAGAGUCUAAGGAGUGUGAAAUUGCACAGAAAGACUGCAGAGCUUCAGCAGAAAGCAGCUUCCAGAGCUAAGACAGCCUGGCUUGUCCCUACUUCCUCGAUCCCAGACCCCUUGCCUGAACUGCUUGCAGGGUGGGGCUCCGUAUUGACACCAAACACUCAGGGGGCAACGCCCCAGGCCCCAUCCUAGGGCUGUGUCUUGGGCUGCAGAGCGGUGCCUGCAGAGAAGUUCGACAGAGCCCAGUACUGUUGGUCCCACAGAAAAAAGAUUCCCCCCCAAAAGCUCCCACUGUCCCAUCCCUGACCUUCCUCCAGGACCCUUAGUGACAGAUUUGGGAGAUUAGAGUUGGGCACAGAUGCCAUGAGAUCCCAUCGUUAGCACUGCAGGCACUGUAACCACAGGGCAGGGCUGGAAAGAGGAGGCUGCAAAAUGCCAGCUGGGACAAGGCCAGUGACACAGAGGUGAACCGUGCAGGGGUGAGGCAGUAGAGAAUGGUGGGGUGUGAGGCUAAUUAGGGUGCCCUGCUCCAUCUAAAUGUAUUAACUACAACUCAGCUGCUACUGAUUUUUGCCAUAAGGGAAAACUGGGUCAAGGAUGCCAGAUCUUUUCAAGUUUCUUCAGCUGUACCCAGAAAUUGGAAUUUUAAUGUGAAAUCUCCCAAUUUUAAAUAUUGAACAUAUAUCUGCAAAAUUUUAAAAACCUUUUGCCAAGCAAAGCACAGGCCCACAGGUGUCCAGUGGGUGGCCUCUUUUCUAUGGACAGCAUAUGAUCAAGCUUUAAUCCAUAUUCGAAUGUGUGCUACUGCAGAAGCCUUCCCAGUUCUGGGUUAUUGAUAAAUCCACAGGUAGAAAGAAGCAGUGGAAAGAUUUGGGGAGUCAGGAAAAAAAAUGAUCUUGAAUCUCAGCUCCAGGUAGAUGGUUUUCACUGAGCUUUACUUUUCACAUCUGUAAAAUGGGGAUAAUGGUUGGUUGGUUGCCCGCCAGCUGCUAUCCCCUACCCCUACCCCUGAUUGGUUCCUGCUAAUAGGGAGCAAUUUUGUUCAGGCAUUGAGGGAGCAGCAGUGAGCUUACUGCACUUAAUUGAGAGAGGACUAUGCCUGUUGAUGGAGAAACCUUAUGUAUCAAGCAAAGCUGAUAGACCUUAUUUUCUUUCAUUCUGUCUUCAUUUUCAUCUGAAGACAUCUGAAAAGGUCUAUCAUCCAUACCCAGCCCAAGCUGAUACAGGUCCUGUUUGAACUAACAGUGUGAAAUACACCUGGAGCACUUCUCUCAAAAAAAUCUUCAUUAUGUAAAUGGAAAGGCCAGUGAAAUUUCCACCAUGUAACUUCCCAUAGAACCUCUCGCUUCUGGCAGGUUUGAGAAACCUCCAUGAAAUGUUCGGUGUGGAACUGGCUUCUACCUUCAGGACACACUGUCAGUUCAAAACUUUGGUAAAUUUUAUCGAUGGAGACGCAGCUCUGAUUUUGCAGUGUCAAGACCUGUGAUCAUGAAUUUUUCUGUAGAGCUUUUUUUUUUUUUUUUUUUUUUUUUGUUUUUUCCGUAAUGGUUGCAAACUGCUGACUUUCCUCAACCUCAUGGUUCCUAGUCGGAUUCGUUUCUGCUGUGCCACGACAGGAACUCCUAGAGCUCUUUUCAAAGGCCUCCCAAGGCGGUGAUUUGGGGCUUCUCUCAUUUACAGGUGAUCCUCCUAGUCAUACCCAGAAACCUGCAUAACUAUUUACCCUUCCCUCUCCUCACAGUGGAGUCUCUUCAAAGCUUCCCUCCUAGACCUGCCUCAGGGGCUCCCGGCUUGCUGUCGCCUUAUGACCAUGACCUUUCUUUUUUUCCUUUUCACUGAUGGCUCCAGUCUUACUUCCUAUGAAUCCUUUUCCUAGGCCCAAGGCCUCCACACUUCCCGUGUUCAGGCUGUGCUGGUCUUUUCUGCCCAACCGAAAGGGCUCAAGGGGAGGUGGUGUGGCUCAGUAGAAACAUCCUGGCAAAAGAGACCUGAAGACGUACCCCUGCCCCGCUCCCAGUCCAGCUCUGGUCCUCUCUCAGUGGAGCCCGCAGGUCAAGGAGCCAGCUUCUCUGACGCUAACAUGCAUAUCCAUCACCUGGGGAUAUUGCUAAAAGGCUGAUUCUGUCUAGAGUGGGGCCUGAGAUUCUGCAAGUGGUGUCAAUUCAGCCAGUCCCCCGACCACACUUUGAGUAGCCAAGUCCUAGACCUGCACUGCCCAAUAAGGCAGCCAUUAGGGGCUGAAUGACUUUCAAGCCCCUGCAGUGCGGCUGGACCUGGGAUAUGCUGCCAGGAUUUCAAAGACUUAAUACCAAAAAAAAAAAAAAAAAAAAAAAA